Molecule: unclassified non-coding RNA, 380 nt
Filed under: soil metagenome
Description: partial contains 5.8S ribosomal RNA, internal transcribed spacer 2, and large subunit ribosomal RNA
Rfam family: 5.8S ribosomal RNA (bases 1-120)
Source: RNAcentral
GAUGAAGAACUUAGCGAAAUGCGAUAAGUAAUGUGAAUUGCAGAAUUCAGUGAAUCAUCGAAUCUUUGAACGCACCUUGCACCCUUUGGCAUUCUGAAGGGUAUGCUCGUUUGAGUGUCAUUGUACUCUCACACUCCCGAUCUUUGCAUUGGGAGCAGUGGACUUGGGUUUGCUGCUUCACCGUCGCUUACCUCAAAUAGGUUAGUGCAACUCUUGGUUGGACAUAGUACGGCGUGAUAAGUGUUCUUCGCCGGUGCCUCGCAAAGAGGGUGGCCGAUCGGGAUGUUGUGCUCCAAACCGUCUUCGGACAAUCUCUGACGACUUGACCUCAAAUCGAGUAAGACUACCCGCUGAACUUAAGCAUAUCAAUAAGCGGAGGA